CUUCUCUAAAGUUCUACCUAGUAUAUAAAUGAGUAUGUAGCUCAGCUUUGGAAGAAGCACACGUGACAACAAUGUUGCGCUAAUUUGGCGACCGGAACUGAAAUUACAGAAAAUGGUUGGAAAAAUCUCAUGCUCAUCAUUGAAGUCAAACAAACGACAGCGGCAAGGUUAUCCAAUUGUUGAAGUCAAACCAUAUGCCCAUCCAUAACUGGCAUGUGGCAGAGUGAAGGGUUUGCUAAGUCGUGUGUAAAUAGCGAGGGUGUGUACUUAUGGUGGCUUAAAAAUGGUGUCCGACAAUUCCUAGCUAUGCUCAACAUGACACUUGCCUACACCAACAAAUUAACCAGUUAUUUGUGUUUGUUCAAUCAAGCGGUUGAUUACCGCCACAUGAGGCAAGUAAUCGGAAGACUUUAAAAAAAAGGAGUAGUGCAAAUAUUUGCAAAUAUUAUAUAUUAUUAAAAGUAAGCAUUUUUUCAAAAGGUCCGAAUAAGCAAGAUUCUUGUUGGUAAUGUAUGGAAGCAUGGAGUAGUCCUGUUCGACCGAUUUUGUUUAAACCAACAAAUCAUCGCUUUUAUCAAGUCACUGAGGGUAAGUGAUAGUGUCAUUUGCUGAUCCCCAAGAUGGGCAGCUCAAUUGAACUUCUGGAGAUACAUGCUUUGGAAUUCCAGAACACGCCUGUAGUUUGAUCCUUGCCUCAAAUCAUUACAAGCCUGCUAAUGUGUUUUAUUUCUCUUUCCGCUAAAUCAUCUGGUUGGCUGAAGAUACGGCUAUUGGACAGUGACUAGUUGAAAACUUUAUAAUUGGGGAAAGGCGAAUCUUGCUGUGGGUGAAAAGCGUACUAAACAAAUUGCGCUCGCCAAGUCCACUUGUGAUGCAGUUAUUCAAUACUAAAACACAACUUUGGACUUCCAGUGAGACUUAUGAAUUUCAUUGAAAGGAAUAGUACUCAAGAAGCCUAAGCAAUAUCUUUGAUGUAACCUACACGCACCAAUUUGAAAACGCUCAGGAUCCUCAGUGAAGAAGAGAAUGAAUCUUGUGGUCUAACUAGCCCAACUGGAAAGUUUUAUUGCUGAGUACGGAGAUUGUUUAAUUAAUUUUAGGCUCAUACAUUAUAUUUUUCUGCAUACCUACACAGGAAGAACCCGUAAAAAUUACCGGUAUUAUUUAAAACAAAUGAAGUGUUAUAAAUUUUGAAGCCACCAUAGAUAUCAGGCAGCAACCUCCUGAUAACUCCGUAAUUUUGAAGGUUUUGACUUAUGGAGCGUAGCUAGAAGAAAUUCGAAGGUAUCGUCCGCAGAGAAACAGCUGAAAGAAUUCCGCAAAAAAAAAAUGCAAAUUCCUAUAUUUUAUUUCAUCACCCGUUAAUGCCACACAUCAUCGAAUCCUUGCUAAAUGGAAAUGUAUUGAGCAAUCUUGGUUUCAGUAGAAUAGCAGAGCGCUUCGCUCAAUACAAUUGGCAGCCUCGCAUCAGCGAUUUGAAGGCUUCGAUUUGGGUGUCGCGAAAUUGGAUAAAAAUAGAACAGUCUGUGAACAAUUCAGCACCUUAAAAGGGUAUUCUAGUAGAGACAUGAAUUUUAGGUAAUUCUUAAAGUGCCGUAAAAAAAAGGCAAUCAAUAUUUUUACUAUCGAGUUCAGUUAUUUAUUAAUGUUACAAGAGUAAAGAAAUAAAAAAAUAAUUUAAAAAAGUGGC
This is a non-coding RNA of Bactrocera oleae (olive fruit fly), 1690 nucleotides long. NCBI's taxonomy places the organism in Eukaryota, Metazoa, Arthropoda, Insecta, Diptera, Tephritidae. The record is from RefSeq and is a predicted model, not a curated record.